UUUGCGUGCAGAGGGCUAGAU
RNAcentral lists this microRNA (21 nucleotides) under Drosophila virilis. RNAcentral's name for it is "dvi-miR-9542e-3p". Lineage: Eukaryota; Metazoa; Arthropoda; Insecta; Diptera; Drosophilidae. The record is from miRBase by way of RNAcentral.